ACGAACGCUGGCGGCGUGCUUAACACAUGCAAGUCGAACGGAAAGGCCCUGCUUGCAGGGUACUCGAGUGGCGAACGGGUGAGUAACACGUGGGUGAUCUGCCCUGCACUUCGGGAUAAGCCUGGGAAACUGGGUCUAAUACCGGAUAGGAGCCAUUUUUAGUGUGAUGGUUGGAAAGUUUUUUCGGUGUAGGAUGAGCUCGCGGCCUAUCAGCUUGUUGGUGGGGUAAUGGCCUACCAAGGCGGCGACGGGUAGCCGGCCUGAGGGGGUGGACGGCCACAUUGGGACUGAGGGACGGCCCAGGCUCCUACGGGAGGCAGCAGUGGGGAAGAUUGCACAAUGGGCGCAAGCCUGAUGCAGCGACGCCGCGGGGGGGAUGACGGCCUUCGGGUUGUAAAAUCCUUUCGCUAGGGACGAAGCUUUUUGUGACGGUACCUAGAUAAGAAGCACCGGCUAACUACGUG
This 464-nucleotide ribosomal RNA is filed under the name uncultured bacterium. RNAcentral's name for it is "partial 16S ribosomal RNA". It matches the Rfam family "Bacterial small subunit ribosomal RNA", at positions 29 to 507 of the family's 1533-position model. The record is from RNAcentral.